GCCCACUCCCUGAAGAGGCCGGUGAUGUUUCCUUUGACGAGCCUGCUGUUAUCUACACUCGUUCCCACUCUUUGGUUGGCCCGUCUUCGAUCGGUAGCCACUCUUUUAAGCUGAGCAAGCUUACCUUACGAGAGACUGAGGACUCAGUUGACUUGGUGGAGUGUCUUGAAAAUGAAUUUUCUGGUGGUGACGAAGUUGACAGUGAGAGAUCUCCAGAGGGGGAGCUGGUGGUGAAGGUCCCUGGCGUGGUGGGACUUGAUGAUUUUGAGGUUAUGAAGGUUGUAGUGAAAGGUGCGUUUGGGAAAGUCUAUCAGGUGAAAAAGAAGGAGACGUCUGAGAUAUUCGCCAUGAAGGUCAUGAGAAAAGAUAAGAUCAUGGAGAAGAACCAUGCUGAGUACAUGAAAGCUGAGCGCGAUAUUUUAACCAAGAUUGAUCAUCCCUUCAUUGUUCAACUUAAAUACUCUUUUCAGGUACUAAUCAUCACUCUGCAACUUACUAGUUUUACUUCAUCAAUGAUUAACUCAGAGCUUAUACAUAUCCUUGUUUGUGUGCAGACUAAGUACAGGCUGUAUCUUGUGCUCGACUUUAUAAACGGAGGUCAUCUUUUCUUCCAGCUCUAUCAUCAAGGACUGUUCAGGUUUGGCUUCAUUCCUAUUUUCACUUAGUUUUGGAGUUUCACCAAAGCUAUGCAAGGCUUGACUAGUUCUAUGGUUUUUUUCACAGGGAGGAAUUGGCUCGUGUGUACACUGCAGAGAUCAUCUCUGCAGUUUCUCAUCUCCACGAGAAAGGGAUAAUGCAUAGGGAUCUCAAACCUGAAAACAUUCUCAUGGACGUUGAUGGCCAUGUGAUGCUAACUGAUUUUGGUUUAGCAAAGGAGUUUGAAGAGAACACAAGAUCAAACUCCAUGUGUGGAACUACUGAGUAUAUGGCACCUGAAAUUGUUAAAGGAAAAGGUCAUGAUAAGGCUGCUGAUUGGUGGAGGCACGAAACAUUAUACGUUCAGGUCAUAGUUUAUCUCUAGAUCUCGAUUUGCUUGAAAUUUGUAACGACUAGAUCUGAUUUUAUCUAAAUUUCAGCUCCUUUUCUUCAAAGGUUACGUUUUUACUGGGGAAAGUCUGAGUCUUUGAAGCUGUGUAGAUUUUAAAUUCAUUCUGAAUCCGCAAAUUGUAUAGCUUUCGGGGUUUAGUGGGACUUGCUUUCAUAAUGCUGUACUUCAGAUUUGAUCUGUUUAUGUUUUAGCCUCUAAAUUUGUGAAUGUUCACUGUACCUGCAGAGCUUAUAAAACCUUCAUGGCAUUUGCGCACUUCUGCAGCAUCGAAUGUUUCCUUAAAGUCGGGAAACAAGAAGCGCUUUUUCUCCUUGUUAUUGGUUUGCCUAUUGCCACCACUCGUUCUAGUCAGUUUUCUCCGCAUUAACCCACCCUCGGUACAUCAUCUCUCUCUCACCACUCUGGUGAACUCUUCUUGAAGCUUUCUCUGUGGUUCUGCAUCGGUUCUUUUAUAGUUGUAAGUUAUGGUUUCAUCUCACCGUCCUGUCCCCAACAAAACCCGCAAACAGCAGUAUCUAUCUCUCAGCCCUUCGGAUUCUGUCUUGAAAGAUGAUGAUGUUGAGCUCGAUUUCUCUGAUGUCUUUGGCCCACUCCCUGAAGAGGCCGGUGAUGUUUCCUUUGACGAGCCUGCUGUUAUCUACACUCGUUCCCACUCUUUGGUUGGCCCGUCUUCGAUCGGUAGCCACUCUUUUAAGCUGAGCAAGCUUACCUUACGAGAGACUGAGGACUCAGUUGACUUGGUGGAGUGUCUUGAAAAUGAAUUUUCUGGUGGUGACGAAGUUGACAGUGAGAGAUCUCCAGAGGGGGAGCUGGUGGUGAAGGUCCCUGGCGUGGUGGGACUUGAUGAUUUUG
RNAcentral lists this long non-coding RNA (1900 nucleotides) under Brassica napus (rape). RNAcentral describes it as "long non-coding RNA (BNAP_LNC017994)". Lineage: Eukaryota; Viridiplantae; Streptophyta; Magnoliopsida; Brassicales; Brassicaceae. The record is from RNAcentral.